CCCCCUCGCUGCAGCCCCGGGACCGGGGCUUUGCAGCCGGCUGCCGCUCCCGUGGACGGCGGGACGGGAAGUGAUCCUGCCCCUCGCGCGACGCAGGGCGCCCGGGGGCACGGACGCUGCGGCUGGACGCCACGAGGGCGAAGGCCGGGGAUGCGGCGUGGGAGAGGGAGCGGGGAGUCCCCGGAGGCGGCGCAGCUGCUGCUGUCAAGGCCGGGGGUCCCAGGCAGCCCCCUCGGAGGCUUUCUACAGCGAUUCCCGCUGCGGCUUCCCGCUCCCGGCUGCGACCRCCGGGAAAAGUGGCUUCCCCCAAGYGCUUUUGUCUAAGUAAGGGUGAGUCCGGGAGGAAGCCCCGGUGGCUCUGGUGUCGGGGCGGGAGGAGAGCUGCUGUCCCCAAGGAGACAGUUCAGGUCUCCUCGGCUGCGGAGUCCAAGGAUGAUCCCGAGGAAGGGACAGGAGGGGGCGGUGUGUGCUCAGGCUCGGAGGAAGGGCAAGGAAACGCAGAGCAGCAAGGCCGCGUGAAGCCCCUUCCCCUAGAGAGGCRCCCAGCACAGAGCCUCGGUGGGUCUGGUGCUCUAGUCCAUCCAUGGAGCAGCGAACGGCCUAGCUUAGUGCACGCUGCUGCCGGGGCGCCUUGUGAGCAGGGCUUGAUGCUCUUCGCUUUCAUUUCCUGGACCCUGCUUCAGGAUCGACUACUCGGCAACUGGCCUGCAACGCGACCCGAGGGGCGAAGGCGAGUGGUGAGAGUGCAAAACAGCUGGCUGCAACCUGGACCGUCCCGGGAGCAGGUGAGCAGCGUGGAGGCUUGGUCCCACGCCGACGUGUGGAGCUGGAGCCRACCCUGCGGCGCACCGGAGCCCUUCCAAGCAGGCCCCCACGGGAAGCAGGCUGUGUGGAGCCUGUCCUGGGCCGCUGGAAGCUGACAAGCGCAGGAGAACCUUCUCCCAGCAGUGGGCAGCACCGGAACGGGCCAGGCCAACAGCAGCUCUUGGGCUCGGAGGUGCUUGAACGCCUCUGGCACCCUGGAGCAGGUCCUGACCUGGAAAGGAGCAGCUCUGUGGCCUGGCUGAGGAGGGGUCAGUGGGGCUGGAAAUGGAAGUUACAUUUCUAGUGGGGACAUUUCUCUUUUCACAGGUAAGGCUGACCAGACAUGGGUGUGUGCGGGGUCCCCUUCUCCCAGCGAGCUGCUCCCUGGUCCUACUUCAGGGUGUGGGGACGCGGCCCCUGCUGAGCAGGUAAGAGCCGGCUGUGUSCUGGCACUACUGCACGUGGUUCACCCUGUGGUUUGGGCCAGGUGUGCUGAGGAUGGGAGGUGACCGGGCGRGCUGAGAGCCUGGGGCUGCCAGUUUCUGUGCUGGCGCUUGAGCUAGUUCAAGUCCCUGGUGCUUACAGAGGACCUUGGGCGUUUGCUGCAUGGCCCUGCAGCCUCCCCUGCGCGUAGGGAGCUCUGCAGGCUUCUGCCCGUUACAUUUCUCGCAAGGGACUCUGUUGAAAGCUGCACACCCUCUGUGUGCUUUUAUACAUCCUGACGUAUUGGAAAAGGUCCCCGGUAUGUGGUCAGCGGAGCCUGUAGCAAGGUGAGGCCRAGUGAGGUCUCCUACCUGCAAAAUAUAUACGUGUGUUUGCCAGCAGUCUCAGGGCCAGGCCGUUCUGGGGGCUGGAAAUUGCUCGCUGACGAGCGUACGGUGGCUCCCCCGGCCGGGCAGCCCUGCCGCGACUGGCACGUCCUGGCAGCGGUGGCGGGGACGCGGGGCUUGUGCUGCUGGCUGGGCUGCCAAGGUGGGAGCCUGCUCUGGCGCGCGGAGCAGGGCGAGCAGGGCUCGCCGAGCCCACGGGGAGCUGGUGUCGGCCUCCGCAGGGUGUGCGGACGGGCCGUGAGGCUGUGUGGCUCCUCGGUGCCCUYCCCUCCCCUGGGCUGCCUGCGGGGACGGUGCUGGGGCCGCUGCCCCGGGGGCCGGGCUAUAGGGGACUGCGUGGGGGCAACCGGUCCCCCUGCGGCACGCUGACGCCCUGCCGCUGCCAGUCUGCAGGCGAUGAGCUAUCCCGGGAGCUGGCGCGCGUGAAGAGCGAGCUGGAGCGCGUGAAGAGCGAGCUGGGUACGUGGCGGGGCUGGGGGACACGCGUGGUGCGGGUGACACCCCCAGCACCGUGCCCGGGGCCUGCAGCCCUGCGGGAUGCUGCCCACCGCAGCGAGCGGGAUCCGGCCCCGGCACCGACUUGCCUGCYGCCCCCAGCCGACAGAGCUGCCCAGUGCGAAGCCUAUCGGCGGACCGUCGCCUGCCUGCGGGCUCGGCUCAGAGCGGCAGGUACGUUCCCCCGCUGGCGAUGCUCUGCUGAUCCGGUGUCACCGAGCGCUGCCGGACAAGAGGGCUAAAGCGGGUGGCAGGUGCUGAAGGCAGAGGAGCAGCCGUGCUUCGAUGCUGCGGUUGUUCCCCAGGAGCGUGGCCGGAUGAUGCAGCGGGGGACGAGACCGGGGUCUCGGGGAGGGACUGACACCUGGCACGCGGGGACAGCCGCGCCGCAGCGGCUUGUCCAGGCGCCUGAGCGAGCUGCUGUGGGCCAGUGACAGUUGUGGAGCUGCUGCAUGAAUGAAACUUUUAAAUUCCUUAUAUUUAAAAUAAAGGUCUCUUUUUGCAGCGUGGCUUGCUCUCU
This 2649-nucleotide long non-coding RNA is filed under the name Apteryx owenii (little spotted kiwi). RNAcentral's name for it is "lncRNA (ENSAOWG00000016388.1)". The record is from RNAcentral. Lineage: Eukaryota; Metazoa; Chordata; Aves; Apterygiformes; Apterygidae.